AAGCGUGAGUUCCCUUCCUCCCUCACCACUCCAUGCGUGUUCCUCCCAAAGCUGCAUUCUCUGUCAAAGAGGGUGACCUUCCCCAGAAUAGAGGACAGGUCUUUGGUCAAGAGUAUGUGAGUAGACGCAUUGCCCUGCUAGAACCUUCGAACAAGCUCAAAUGUACCUUCUUGAUAGAAAGAGAAAUCCUCUUCUGGGAGAAUCUUAACAUUGCUUAUAAAAUUAAAACUGCAUCCAUAA
RNAcentral lists this small RNA (240 nucleotides) under Meriones unguiculatus (Mongolian gerbil). RNAcentral describes it as "7SK RNA (ENSMUGG00000000146.1)". It matches the Rfam family "7SK RNA", at positions 77 to 331 of the family's 331-position model. From Rfam's summary of the family: 7SK was discovered as an abundant small nuclear RNA in the mid-70s but a possible function has only recently been suggested. Two independent studies have found that 7SK RNA binds the CDK9/cyclin T complex (known as elongation factor P-TEFb). P-TEFb activates transcription by phosphorylating the C-terminal domain of RNA polymerase II. Lineage: Eukaryota; Metazoa; Chordata; Mammalia; Rodentia; Muridae. The record is from RNAcentral.